RNAcentral lists this ribosomal RNA (1346 nucleotides) under uncultured bacterium. RNAcentral's name for it is "bacterial SSU rRNA". It matches the Rfam family "Bacterial small subunit ribosomal RNA", at positions 28 to 1381 of the family's 1533-position model. The record is from RNAcentral.
GACGAACGCUGGCGGCGUGCUUAACACAUGCAAGUCGAACGGAAAGGCCCUGCUUUUGUGGGGUGCUCGAGUGGCGAACGGGUGAGUAACACGUGAGUAACCUGCCCUUGACUUUGGGAUAACUUCAGGAAACUGGGGCUAAUACCGGAUAGGAGCUCCUGCUGCAUGGUGGGGGUUGGAAAGUUUCGGCGGUUGGGGAUGGACUCGCGGCUUAUCAGCUUGUUGGUGGGGUAGUGGCUUACCAAGGCUUUGACGGGUAGCCGGCCUGAGAGGGUGACCGGCCACAUUGGGACUGAGAUACGGCCCAGACUCCUACGGGAGGCAGCAGUGGGGAAUAUUGCACAAUGGGCGGAAGCCUGAUGCAGCAACGCCGCGUGCGGGAUGACGGCCUUCGGGUUGUAAACCGCUUUCGCCUGUGACGAAGCGUGAGUGACGGUAAUGGGUAAAGAAGCACCGGCUAACUACGUGCCAGCAGCCGCGGUGAUACGUAGGGCGCGAGCGUUGUCCGGAUUUAUUGGGCGUAAAGGGCUCGUAGGUGGUUGAUCGCGUCGGAAGUGUAAUCUUGGGGCUUAACCCUGAGCGUGCUUUCGAUACGGGUUGACUUGAGGAAGGUAGGGGAGAAUGAAAUUCCUGGUGGAGCGGUGGAAUGCGCAGAUAUCAGGAGGAACACCAGUGGCGAAGGCGGUUCUCUGGGCCUUUCCUGACGCUGAGGAGCGAAAGCGUGGGGAGCGAACAGGCUUAGAUACCCUGGUAGUCCACGCUGUAAACGGUGGGUACUAGGUGUGGGGUCCAUUCCACGGGUUCCGUGCCGUAGCUAACGCUUUAAGUACCCCGCCUGGGGAGUACGGCCGCAAGGCUAAAACUCAAAGGAAUUGACGGGGCCCCGCACAAGCGGCGGAGCAUGCGGAUUAAUUCGAUGCAACGCGUAGAACCUUACCUGGGUUUGACAUGGAUCGGGAGUGCUCAGAGAUGGGUGUGCCUCUUUUGGGGUCGGUUCACAGGUGGUGCAUGCCUGUCGUCAGCUCGUGUCGUGAGAUGUUGGGUUAAGUCCCGCAACGAGCGCAACCCUUGUUCACUGUUGCCAGCACGUUAUGGUGGGGACUCAGUGGAGACCGCCGGGGUCAACUCGGAGGAAGGUGGGGAUGACGUCAAGUCCUCAUGCCCCUUAUGUCCAGGGCUUCACGCAUGCUACAAUGGCUGGUACAGAGAGUGGCGAGCCUGUGAGGGUGAGCGAAUCUCGGAAAGCCGGUCUCAGUUCGGAUUGGGGUCUGCAACUCGACCUCAUGAAGUCGGAGUCGCUAGUAAUCGCAGAUCAGCAACGCUGCGGUGAAUACGUUCCCGGGGCU